AGAACGAACGCUGGCGGCAUGCCUAACACAUGCAAGUCGAACGCUCUUGGGGCUUCGGUCUCAGGGGAGUGGCGCACGGGUGAGUAGCGCGUGGGAACCUGCCCUGUUGUGGGGGAUAACCGAGGGAAACUUCGGCUAAUACCGCAUAAGCCGGUUGUCUUGAAGGAGAUGGCCGGGAAAGAUUUAUCGCGACAGGAGGGGCCCGCGUCGGAUUAGCUAGUUGGUGGGGUAACGGCCCACCAAGGCGGUGAUCCGUAGCUGGUCUGAGAGGAUGAUCAGCCACACUGGGACUGAGACACGGCCCAGACUCCUACGGGAGGCAGCAGUGGGGGAAUAUUGGACAAUGGGCGCAAGCCUGAUCCAGCAAUGCCGCGUGAGUGAUGAAGGCCUUAGGGUUGUAAAGCUCUUUCGCCCGCGACGAUGAUGACGGUAGCGGGAGAAGAAGCCCGGCUAACUUCGUGCCAGCAGCCGC
This 472-nucleotide ribosomal RNA is filed under the name uncultured bacterium. RNAcentral describes it as "SSU rRNA". It matches the Rfam family "Bacterial small subunit ribosomal RNA", at positions 26 to 518 of the family's 1533-position model. The record is from RNAcentral.